This is a long non-coding RNA of Hyaena hyaena (striped hyena), 666 nucleotides long. RefSeq lists it as uncharacterized. The record is from RefSeq and is a predicted model, not a curated record. Lineage: Eukaryota; Metazoa; Chordata; Mammalia; Carnivora; Hyaenidae. The transcript is spliced from 3 exons.
CUUGAACCGGAGGACUAGAAAGAGUGACCUCUGAUUUCCAGAAGCUUGGGAACAAAACCAAAAUAGCGACACGGUUUGUGUCCCUGGGCCCCGCCUCGGGGUGAGGUGACAGUGAGCUGCACAGAGGGAGGCGGCCUCUCCUGGGGCAGGAAGGGAAGGAGGAGAGCAGGGCGCCACCCCUCCCUCCACGUGCAGGCUUGUGCGACCCUGCGGCCCCUGCCUCCCUCAGAAUUGCUGUGGAACACCUUCCCCCCACCCCUGCAGAGUCUGGAGAGCAACCCUCAGGGGCGGCCCCCACCCCCGCAGCCCUCCCUCCACAGAGUCUGGAACAAUCCGCAGGCGCGGACCCCUGCAGCCCGCAGUGUCCCACACAGCUGCAAACCUGCCUCCCAGAAACGAAAUCUGCCCGCUCUGACAGCUCGGUUGAAGGUGAUUGAUGACUAUCUGGAGACCACAGUGCGCAUCAUAUAAUAUCUGCUGCGUAAUUGCUUUAAUUUACAGAUGAAAAUACGAGCUCUCCGAUCGCGCUGAACCACAGCCGGCCACGUCCGAGCUGCUUGCGAAGGAAAAUCAUCGGAAAUAAUGAAUAGCCGCUCCAUGCAAAUUAUUCAGACAGUUUAAGCGUCUGUAGCCGGGAGAGAUAUAUAAAGAACACGAGUCAAAUGA